GCACUUUAAAUGAAACAGGCCAUAAUGUAGUGAACUAUUAUUAAAAGGGUCAACUGCCAACUUAUAGAUGUAUAAAACUGCAAGCAGAAUAUAGGACCUUAGUUUUUAUUUUCAAACAGAGGACACUUUGGCUCACAAACUUUCUUUACAAUCCAUGUGAAAGAUAAAAACUUAUAUGUUUAACGUAAAAAAUAGAAAGCAUUAACCCUUGGUUCCAAACGAAUAUAAAUUUGACUUUUAAGAUCAAACAUACUAACUAUUAACUUUGAAUUACUACAAAAUAUUAA
RNAcentral lists this long non-coding RNA (287 nucleotides) under Helianthus annuus (common sunflower). RNAcentral describes it as "hypothetical non coding rna". Lineage: Eukaryota; Viridiplantae; Streptophyta; Magnoliopsida; Asterales; Asteraceae. The record is from RNAcentral.